AAAAAAUAGAAGCGGAAACCAAACAGACCCUUAUAUUUAGAUCUGACUUUUCAAUUACAAUGCCCAACUACCUUUCCUCAUUCUUCUGGUGGCGUUAUUGUUGAUGUUAUCUGUUGUAUUUUCCUUUUUAGAUAUUGGUCUGAUAUUAAUUAAUUAAUAAAUAUUCAGCAGAAGCGACCCAAGCCUUCAAAGAAGCCUAUUUUAUUGUCAAAAUAUCCAGAAACAACAGAUUUGAAGGGUCUUAAAGGCAUUGCGGAAACCUACAUUCAAGAAAAAAGCACGGGCUUUAGACAGUUAGUAGAGCAACGACAGGAAGGCACAUCAGGAGUUGUUGUUCGAAGCAGUAGAUCUAAUGUUGAUGAUCCCAAGAGUCUGUCAUGAUGAGUUGGAGUCUUUCUCCUUGAUGACAAAUAGUCCAUGUAAGUUAUGUCUACAACUUCCUCAUUAACAAGCUAGUGUUGC
Long non-coding RNA from Trifolium pratense (red clover), 462 nucleotides. RefSeq lists it as uncharacterized. NCBI's taxonomy places the organism in Eukaryota, Viridiplantae, Streptophyta, Magnoliopsida, Fabales, Fabaceae. The record is from RefSeq and is a predicted model, not a curated record. The transcript is spliced from 4 exons.